Molecule: ribosomal RNA, 1372 nt
Filed under: uncultured bacterium
Lineage: Bacteria
Description: bacterial SSU rRNA
Rfam family: Bacterial small subunit ribosomal RNA
Source: RNAcentral
GAUGAACGCUGGCGGCGUGCCUAAUACAUGCAAGUCGAGCGAACGGACGAGAAGCUUGCUUCUCUGAUGUUAGCGGCGGACGGGUGAGUAACACGUGGAUAACCUACCUAUAAGACUGGGAUAACUUCGGGAAACCGGAGCUAAUACCGGAUAAUAUUUUGAACCGCAUGGUUCAAAAGUGAAAGACGGUCUUGCUGUCACUUAUAGAUGGAUCCGCGCUGCAUUAGCUAGUUGGUAAGGUAACGGCUUACCAAGGCAACGAUGCAUAGCCGACCUGAGAGGGUGAUCGGCCACACUGGAACUGAGACACGGUCCAGACUCCUACGGGAGGCAGCAGUAGGGAAUCUUCCGCAAUGGGCGAAAGCCUGACGGAGCAACGCCGCGUGAGUGAUGAAGGUCUUCGGAUCGUAAAACUCUGUUAUUAGGGAAGAACAUAUGUGUAAGUAACUGUGCACAUCUUGACGGUACCUAAUCAGAAAGCCACGGCUAACUACGUGCCAGCAGCCGCGGUAAUACGUAGGUGGCAAGCGUUAUCCGGAAUUAUUGGGCGUAAAGCGCGCGUAGGCGGUUUUUUAAGUCUGAUGUGAAAGCCCACGGCUCAACCGUGGAGGGUCAUUGGAAACUGGAAAACUUGAGUGCAGAAGAGGAAAGUGGAAUUCCAUGUGUAGCGGUGAAAUGCGCAGAGAUAUGGAGGAACACCAGUGGCUAAGGCGACUUUCUGGUCUGUAACUGACGCUGAUGUGCGAAAGCGUGGGGAUCAAACAGGAUUAGAUACCCUGGUAGUCCACGCCGUAAACGAUGAGUGCUAAGUGUUAGGGGGUUUCCGCCCCUUAGUGCUGCAGCUAACGCACUAAGCACUCCGCCUGGGGAGUACGACCGCAAGGUUGAAACUCAAAGGAAUUGACGGGGACCCGCACAAGCGGUGGAGCAUGUGGUUUAAUUCGAAGCAACGCGAAGAACCUUACCAAAUCUUGACAUCCUUUGACAACUCUAGAGAUAGAGCUUUCCCCUUCGGGGGACAAAGUGACAGGUGGUGCAUGGUUGUCGUCAGCUCGUGUCGUGAGAUGUUGGGUUAAGUCCCGCAACGAGCGCAACCCUUAAGCUUAGUUGCCAUCAUUAAGUUGGGCACUCUAAGUUGACUGCCGGUGACAAACCGGAGGAAGGUGGGGAUGACGUCAAAUCAUCAUGCCCCUUAUGAUUUGGGCUACACACGUGCUACAAUGGACAAUACAAAGGGCAGCGAAACCGCGAGGUCAAGCAAAUCCCAUAAAGUUGUUCUCAGUUCGGAUUGUAGUCUGCAACUCGACUACAUGAAGCUGGAAUCGCUAGUAAUCGUAGAUCAGCAUGCUACGGUGAAUACGUUCCCGGGUCU